UGUUGUUUUCUUUCUUUCUUGUCUCUAGUUUGUGCUGUAUUUUAUUCUUUGUGUUUGAGUGGAUGCGUUUGAGUUUGCUUAGAGUUUUUGUGCUCUGUUUGAGUUUUGUUGCGUUUUUUGUGUGUUUUGAGUUUGAGUGCAUUGUGUUUGUUGUGUUUGUUGUGUCUGUGAACGUGUGUGUUUCUAGAACUUAUGCAUGACAGAAUAUACAUGAGAAUAGAGGGAGAGAUAUCUGACCUCUCAUAUGCUUUUGGCUAUAAAAAUCACCUCCGAAAAUUUUGUUCUCUGGACCUCAAAGAUACCUACAUAAAGCAGAAUACACGACUCUCAUUUGCUUUUGCUUCUUGAACCA
Long non-coding RNA from Arabidopsis thaliana (thale cress), 352 nucleotides. RefSeq annotates it as other RNA. NCBI's taxonomy places the organism in Eukaryota, Viridiplantae, Streptophyta, Magnoliopsida, Brassicales, Brassicaceae. The transcript has a single exon. The record is from RefSeq.